UAGGUUCGGUUGGUAAGGAGGGGGUGGUAUAUGAAAAGGGUAUAGAGUGUUUUUUAGGAGAGAAUGAGUAAAGGAGAGUUGAUAGUGAAAGAAUUAUGAUUGAUUAAAACCUUGAAAGAUUAGAGAGAAAUAGUUAGAGAAUUAGGAGAAGCUUUUAAUGAGGAUGAUAGUUAUGAGGAAAGACAUGGAAAAGAAAAGAUGAUGGAGAUAUGCAAGUAUAUUUAUGGAGAGAUGAUUGCUAAUCAUGAUGGAAAGUUGUUAGUACGAAGGAACUCAUUCAAGAGAUCAAGUUACUCUUUAUUAACAACGAUCAAUUCAAAGAUGAACCAGUGGCUUAUGGAUCUCAAGGUAGGCGAGGCUUGUCAUCAAAAGAGUUUCAGAGACAGAACAAGAUGUACAUGUGACGAUGAAAGCUUCGAAGAAUUAUUUACGAUAGUUAGUUAGCUUCCGCUAUGUUUAUUCUGUGUUUGUAUUCCAUUUGUAAAUCAACUCACUAUUGAAUAUGUAUCAUUUGUGAGAAGUUCGUGUAUAUGUUUUCCAGAGUGGGGCUAAUUUUUGGGUUAAGUUUUGCAGCAAAUUUCUUAAUUGAAUGUUUAAGUAAAUGAUUUAGAUUCUU
Long non-coding RNA from Papaver somniferum (opium poppy), 616 nucleotides. RefSeq lists it as uncharacterized. The transcript has 3 exons. The record is from RefSeq and is a predicted model, not a curated record. NCBI's taxonomy places the organism in Eukaryota, Viridiplantae, Streptophyta, Magnoliopsida, Ranunculales, Papaveraceae.